CUGGAGAUGCAACUAAAGUCCACAGUAAACUUCUUUCAAGACACACCUCUUCCACAUAACAUUUCUUAACUAGCCAUGCCUUCAUUCAUAGCCCUCCUUUCAUGAGUUUACAAUCUGCUCUGUGCAUGAUUCAGCACGUAAUUAUGAGCUAGUUUAUAUUUUUAUCUGUUGAGUUUUUGUUUAUGCUACUGUGAUCUCCACAACUAGAUUGCAAGCUCUUUAAGGGGAAGAAAAACUAUCAUGUCAUAUUUCUUCGGUAUACUUCAAAGCUUUUGUCAUAAUAUUGAGUACACAGAGACUGUAAAAUAAAUACUUGAUUGCUACAAGUGUUGGCUGUGAAUAUUAAUAUUUUAUGUACAGUUUUUUGACUUUCACCCUCUUCAAUACCUUAAGAAUGCUCUACCAGAAGAAAAGUUAUGCAUAAACAGAUAAUUUAUAUUUUGAAAUUUGGUUAAAUACAAUUUUUCUGAGUUUAUUUAAAUAGAAUCCUAAUAGAUGGUCUCGAUUGGGAUUUCAUGUCCUGGUCUUUCCAGGAAAAUUAUUUUCCCAGUCUAUGCUAUAACUUCUAUUUCUUUAUAAUGUCAGGAACCCUAUGUGAAUGUUUUUGUGGGAAAAGUUCAGAGAAAUGAGGAGAAAAGAAAAUUGAGUUUCCUGGCAAUUUGAACUCAUAUUUGCAAAUCUUAUUGUCCAACAGAAAGGGAUACAAUAAACACUGAAAUGUUUGCCUAAAAGAAGGAGUAAAAAGAAAAUCAGACUAAAUUCCUUUAUCUACUACUUUCAGGGGCCAGACUGCAGGGACGUUCAGCACCAAAUCUUAUGCUAUUCUGAGGCCACGGACCCCUGCAACAGUGUAGCCAAAGUUCCCCUUUGACUCUUAUUAUAAAUACACAAUUUGUUGACUUUCUUUUUUUGCAUAUCUAGUUUAGUCCUCACAUAAAGCAUUAUUGUCUCUAUUUCAGAAAAAAAACGAAACUGCAGCUCAGAGAGCUUGAGUGAUCUGACUCACAUAGCACAGCAGUGGAGUUACAUGAGGACCUAGAUCUACUUCAUUACAAUUCUUACGUUCUUUCUAAUAUUUUCUGUGUCCCUCCAAAACAGACACAGAGUGAAAAAUAUGUUAGGGGAAGAAAUCCGAGAUUGGGUACUGCAAACAGAGGUAGACAUAGAGUUGUCACUGGGAAGGAGGGAAAGAGGGGAGAUAAAUAUUUUUGAAAAGGUGGCUAACAAAACAAGUUUGUUGCACAUUGAAUAUAAUCUGCUUCCACUUCCACAGUGGUCAGGAGAAGUUGUCAGAGUUUGGUUUUUUUUUUUCCCCAAGUCCUAAGAAGUACAUGAGAAAAAGCAGCAUUUUAUUAAAGUGUGCCCAGAAUAAGAAAGAUGUGGAAGAAAUUAACACAAUAAUAAACAAACUUCAUCUAAUCCCAUUCUAAACACACAAAAGCUGGCCAUGAACAGCUUUAGACAAACAUUUGAAGCAUUACAAGGAUUGUUAAUACUGUUGUGCAAUUAAAAUGUCAGUAGUUAAUGCCAACCUUGGGGAGAAAUUGAUUAAUUUAAUAGUUUCUCAAGGUGACAACAGUCAUCUGCAAUCCAGUAGUGAAGUCUGAUGUGCACUGCCU
This is a long non-coding RNA of Equus caballus (horse), 1619 nucleotides long. The record is from Ensembl. Lineage: Eukaryota; Metazoa; Chordata; Mammalia; Perissodactyla; Equidae.